UACACAUGUUCAGGUCUGUGAAUUUUCCUCUUUAAAACUGGGUAUGGGUAAACAGCUAAACUAAAUUUGGAAAGACACAUUAAAGAUGCAUUCUUAGGUUUUCAUGUGGUCUUUGAUGUAGAGUGUCCAGACAGUUUUAAAGCUGUAGAAGAAACAUUUAAUUAGGCUGGAUUCCUUGAAGGCAGAGCCAAUAAAUUAAUAAAAAAAAAAACAGGAAAAAAAAGACAGCAAAUAUCAUAAACUAAAGCAAUAGAAAAAGUUAAAUACUUGAGUUAAAUACUAUGAGAUAUACUUGGAUGUUUCAGAUCAUCACAUACAAUUUAUAGACAAAUAUAACCUGAAUAAAUAUUAUAAAGCAGUUUCACUUAUUACCGGAAACAUAAUAACAAGAGAGCCAGAGCUGGAUCUAAGGGAAAAGUAAUAACGCCCAAACCAAAUAAUUGGUUUUCACACCCCAGGCAUUAACAACUGCCAGGUGUUUGCCAUUACUGACAACAAGUGAAGUGAGACCUGUAGAGCUUCUGAUGAUGUUCUGGGUUUUUCAUUUUUUAAAUCACCUGGAAUUGUGAGUGACGCUCUGAUGGAUUUCAGUUUGGUAAACCAGCCACUCUCGGGAAAGUUAAUCGCUGCUCAAAGUUUGUGUACAGAAAUCUCUUUGUAGGCCUAUGCAGACUCAUAGAUGCCGAUUACUUUGGAUCUCAUCUGUUUUCAAAUCACUUUAGAUAGUGGCAUGGUUAUCUCUCGUGUUUAAGGAGAGAUCAGACUGCCAUAAAGCAACACUCUGGGUCACAUGAGUUAUUGAGUGAUGGAUCCGACCAUCUCAAGUAAAAUAGGUGCAUUUUGGAGAACAGUAGCCCAAAUGGAACAUCGAUACGAAAAUAAUUUAAUAUCUCUCAAAUUAAGUUGUUGCUUGGGUUAAGAGUUACGCAGUAUAAAUUCACAGAGUAACUGUGUUUGAUGUUGAAAAGUUCCUUUACUAGAAUAUCUGGUGUUUUUCCUCAGAACUCAAUUGAAAGACAUAUGUCUUAGAAACGUUUAAUACAAACUAAUUUUAAGCAGAGAACGACAAGAAAUCAGUCAGGUUUCCCCUCAGUUAGAUUGCUUAUGAGGGCAUUUACCAUGGUAGCAUGUUAACACAGAGGGUAUUUCCGCCCUUUCCCUGACCUGCAUUUAGCUUCAUCUCUUUUCCCACUGGCAGAGGACAAAUGCUCGUUCUUUCAAAGGCAAAGGUUGUAUUGAGUUUCAGGUUUUAUUGAUGGAGCCUCUAAGGGAGAAAGGGUCUGUUACAGCUUCUCUCUCAGCUGGACAAUGAGACCCUGUUCUAGCUGCAAAAAGCCUGAAAAAAGCCAGCAGAGGACUGGGAACUGGGCUCCCCCAGGAGCGUGAGACUAUCUUUGUUUUGUCAACCUUCAGGUUUGGAGGAUUCGAAAUUGGAAAAGGCUGCAUGUUUUACGGAUUCAAUUUGCAUUUCAUUUUUUUUUUCUUCUAGUUCAACUACCUGGAAAGCAACAUUUAGGCUAGUUCAGAGAAAACAAAAGGGCUGAUAAAGAACUGGCAUAGCGUUUGGUUUUAAAAUAAAACUCGCAUCCCGUGGACAGAUGUGACAGGAAGACAUAACGCUAACAAAUGAUGGCAAUAAACAGUAGGAAAAACAGUUGUGAAACUGUGGGGGAGCCAGAAGCCGAAGAAAAAAAGAAAAGAUUCUCCACAGUUACCAUGACAGGCACAAUGUGUUCACAAACAACAUAGAAUGACAGUGACUAUGAGCAGAUAAAGUUAAGCUUCUAUAAAUAUCCUGUUAGUAUAAUACUUUCUCUGACCUAAGAAAAAAAAUAUAAUAAUAAUAAUACACCCCUCACCUCAAGGUGCUUGAUCUCACUUGGAUACAGUAAUUACCACAGUGUUAAAGAAGGCUUCAGGAUAAAUGAUAAUGUCAGGUUUACUUAAACAACUUCAGCAGUUCUAAUUUGUCCAUUUACUGAGUGUAUUCUGUUACUGUUCUCUAGAGUUAUCUUUAGGUGAUUUAUUUCACCCUUAAGCACUUCAUAUCCAGGCUAAGGAAGCAACAUUCAAGCUGCAAGGCCAGGUUAUUGAAUUCAUUAAUAAUUACGGUUUGAAAUAUGACGUAGCACACAUUGAAAUUAAAAUUUUGAUGUAUCUCUUGAUAGAAACAAUUUAACACCCCAAACUAAAUAAGGGAUUUAUAUAUGUUUAAAAACCACCAACCCAAAUACUUGUUGACAGCAUUUAUCGCAGAAUUGAUCAUAAUACUGUUCAUAAAUCUGUUGAUCACUAAAAAGAUGGGUUUUCUGUAUAUUUCCUGAACAGAAUUUUUUUGUUUGUUUGUUUGUUUGAUUUUAACCUGGAGAUCAAGAAGAUAUGUCAAAAUUUGCAUAUAUAAUGUGAAUAGCCAAUUACCAACUUAUAUUUUCUGUUGGAUGAUAAAAGUUACUUUUUUUUAUUUGUCACCAAAGUACAUCCUUCUGUGGCAGAUGCACACAGUUGUACUUAUGGCAAGGAGUAAGCUUUUCAAACAGAUUUUAAUGGUAUAAGAAAACAUACAAUUGUGAUUUAUUUCAAAAUGUUAUAAUCAUAGUUGAUAUAUGGGGAGUGGUGGCCUAGUGGCUAGGAAUAGGACAUAGGGCUUGGAAUCUUGCGGUUGUGAGUUUGAAACCCACUCCCAUAGCCUGCCACUCUGGGCCCCUGAGCAAGGACCCUUAACCCCACACUGCUCCCUGGGUGCUGCAAAUGGCAUUCCACUGCUCCCCAAUGGGAUGGGUGAAAUGUAGAGAUUAAUUUAGUUGCGCUCUAUUUGUGACAGUGUAAUGACAAUAAACGCUG
Cyprinodon tularosa is the source of this 2841-nucleotide long non-coding RNA. RefSeq lists it as uncharacterized. NCBI's taxonomy places the organism in Eukaryota, Metazoa, Chordata, Actinopteri, Cyprinodontiformes, Cyprinodontidae. The record is from RefSeq and is a predicted model, not a curated record. The transcript has 2 exons.